AAGUCCGGGCUUCACAGGGCAAGGAUGCCGGCUAACGGCCGGUGGAGGUAACUCCAAGGAUAGUGCAACAGAAAUAUACCGCCUGAUUUAUCAGGUAAGGGUGGAAAGGCGGUGUAAGAGACCACCGUAUCGUUGGUAACAACGGUAGCCAUGUAAACCCCAUCCGAAGCAAGUUCUAAAAUGCGCGUACGCGGCCCGCCAGCGCAAGGUUGAACGCUUGAGGCUGUUGGCAACAGCAGUCCUAGAUAGAUGACUACUUUAAAUGACAUAACCCGGCUCACAGUCGGGCCUU
This 292-nucleotide RNase P RNA is filed under the name uncultured Pseudobutyrivibrio sp. RNAcentral's name for it is "Bacterial RNase P class A". It matches the Rfam family "Bacterial RNase P class A", at positions 48 to 362 of the family's 367-position model. From Rfam's summary of the family: Ribonuclease P (RNase P) is a ubiquitous endoribonuclease, found in archaea, bacteria and eukarya as well as chloroplasts and mitochondria. Its best characterised activity is the generation of mature 5'-ends of tRNAs by cleaving the 5'-leader elements of precursor-tRNAs. Lineage: Bacteria; Bacillati; Bacillota; Clostridia; Lachnospirales; Lachnospiraceae. The record is from RNAcentral.